AGUGAACGCUGGCGGUAGGCCUAACACAUGCAAGUCGAACGGCAGCACAGUAAGAGCUUGCUCUUACGGGUGGCGAGUGGCGGACGGGCGAGGAAUACAUCGGAAUCUACUUUUUCGUGGGGGAUAACGUAGGGAAACUUACGCUAAUACCGCAUACGACCUACGGGUGAAAGCAGGGGAUCUUCGGACCUUGCGCGAUUGAAUGAGCCGAUGUCGGAUUAGCUAGUUGGCGGGGCAAAGGCCCACCAAGGCGACGAUCCGUAGCUGGUCUGAGAGGAUGAUCAGCCACACUGGAACUGAGACACGGUCCAGACUCCUACGGGAGGCAGCAGUGGGGAAUAUUGGACAAUGGGCGCAAGCCUGAUCCAGCCAUACCGCGUGGGUGAAGAAGGCCUUCGGGUUGUAAAGCCCUUUUGUUGGGAAAGAAAAGCAGCAGGUUAAUACCCCGCUGUUCUGACGGUACCCAAAGAAUAAGCACCGGCUAACUUCGUG
Molecule: ribosomal RNA, 492 nt
Filed under: uncultured bacterium
Lineage: Bacteria
Description: partial 16S ribosomal RNA
Rfam family: Bacterial small subunit ribosomal RNA
Source: RNAcentral